CCGCUUCUCCCCCUAAACUCAGCAUUCACCUCUGAGAAGCUAAAUCUGGAGAGAAUUUGGCUUUUCCAGCUGCUUGGAUACUUUUGAGAAAUCUUGUUCAUCAGAGGAUAUAUCUGCACUUGGUAGCUUGGAACGUCCAGGGAAACUGAAAACAGCUCAGUGCUUUUGAAGCACCCUGAGGCCCUGGUGCUCUCCCCUGCUGAAGCAGUGUGGUGUAUUUCCAGCCAUGUAGGGACGAUAAUGCUUCCCUAGUCUCACUGAGGUGUUGCCACUUUCUGAUGUGGCUAUGGCUACUUUGGGUCAUGCUGCUUCUGCCCUGCUCGAGCCCUGAUCUGCCACUGCUGGAAGAUGGCCCAGAGCCUGCUGAGAUGAAGCAAGUGUAAUCCACAGAAGUCGAGAGUGCCUCCGUGCCACAGGAAAUUCCAAGGAGAUGCAGUGGUGGGUGGCCAGCUCUGCAGUGCUGAGGUCCAG
Long non-coding RNA from Cuculus canorus (common cuckoo), 471 nucleotides. RefSeq lists it as uncharacterized. NCBI's taxonomy places the organism in Eukaryota, Metazoa, Chordata, Aves, Cuculiformes, Cuculidae. The transcript has 4 exons. The record is from RefSeq and is a predicted model, not a curated record.